Transfer RNA from Camelus ferus (Wild Bactrian camel), 72 nucleotides. It matches the Rfam family "tRNA". Rfam says of the family: Transfer RNA (tRNA) molecules are approximately 80 nucleotides in length. Their secondary structure includes four short double-helical elements and three loops (D, anti-codon, and T loops). The record is from Rfam. Lineage: Eukaryota; Metazoa; Chordata; Mammalia; Artiodactyla; Camelidae.
GUGAGUAUAGCUCACUAGUAGAGCACAUGCUUAGCAUGCACAAGAUCCUGGGUUCAAUCCCCAGUAUCUCCA